Long non-coding RNA from Mugil cephalus (flathead mullet), 3840 nucleotides. RefSeq lists it as uncharacterized. Lineage: Eukaryota; Metazoa; Chordata; Actinopteri; Mugiliformes; Mugilidae. The transcript has 2 exons. The record is from RefSeq and is a predicted model, not a curated record.
GGAAGUGGCAGAAAGGGAAGCGUUCCAUCCAACAUGCAGCCCUCUGGGCUGUGAGAUACAGGACGCACUGGAGGAAACAUCACCUGUAAAACUGCUGAGUAUGAAUUUGAUAAUCAUAAAAACAACAAUAAUAAUGAUAGAUGCAUCCAUCAAUAAUAAUUAUAAUUAAUGAAUACAAUCUUGCUUGCUCAGUGUCAUUCUGUCUUUGUCAAUCUCUCUUACACUCUCUCUUUGUCUCCCCAUCGCUUGUCUAGCAGGACUCCCCUCAUCUGGAGAAUGUAGGAACUGCAUGACUAUACCCUUUUCUGCAUGUUGCAGUGGAGACAUGUGGAUAUAAGGUGCAAAAUUAGGUGCGCUGUUUAACACCAUGGCGCAUAUAUAUAUAUAUAUACACUACUCUUUUUUAAAAAAAAAAAAAUCAGAUUAGGUUUUAGUGCAUUUGUCUAUAUUAUAGGUCACUUUUACUGCUCUAAUAGGCUGUUCUCCUCACAUAACUUCUAAGAACUUAAGUAGAAUAUAAAUUGCACAGAUCUUCUGUGCCAUUAGCAAAUGUUCAUUCUGCUUUUCGACCUGCCCUAGUCUUUAAUGUGCUGGAAUAUGACGAUAUGGCGCAUUGCAUGGCAAGAGUGCACGCACUUUAUGCUUCGUGCAUUUGCAUUAGACUACGUAGAGUAGGCCUAGUAAAUUAUUUAGUUGUUUCUGUGUGUUUUAAGAUAAAUAGUAAUAACAACAACAACAAAAAAACAUUACAGGCUAAAUGAUAAUAAACAACAAAAAAUAACUCUAAUAACUAAUAAAUGACAAUAUAUCUAAAAAAAAAAUUAAAAGCAUUUAAUAUGUGAAUUUAGAUUAUUAGAUUAUAUUGAAGCCGGUGUUCAGCAGCAGAUACGAUUUUCUGGCUGAUCCAAGCUAGAUGAGUAUUAGAAAAAAAAAAGGAAAAAAAAAACAUAAUGUGCAUAAUGUUACGUGAUAUAUAAAGCUGUCAUGUCAAGGUCGGUGGUCUGCUUGUGGUCUCAUUGGAAUUCUGCGGCACUCUGCUAAGUGAUUCAAGUAAAAAUAAGUAAGUAAAACAGGCUAAAAAGCUGGAGAAAACCUAAGGCAAAUGCGAGAGCAAAACCCUGCAGCCGUUGGUAAGCAGGCGCAUUUUUUGCGCACGUAUGAGGUGUACUGCCUCGCAACCGUCUGAUUUGUCAAGUGUGACAAAACAAAAGCAAUCUCGAACGGCUCCCCUCCGUUUCCAGGCAUCAGUGUGUAAUCAUACAAUAAAUGCCCACAUAAACACGGCAGCAUAAACACAAACACCAAAUGCGCAUUCCACAGUGUUUGAUCUGAAAUCGAUUAAUGCCUGCAUCUUUCCACACUAAGGCGUUGCUGUGCAGUAUUCGUCCUUAGUUUAUUUUGUGAGUUGCACGGAGACAACCACAUUUUCAGACUUAUUCGGGGUGUCAAGAAGCGUUGUGUUGCUGAAAGAAUCUUGCUCCAAGAAUUAAAAUAAAAUCAUAUAAUUGUAGCAAGUGGAAGGAUAGUUUAAGAAUGGCACUAACACUGAAAUUAUUAGGCACAUUUUCCACAAUUGCCUGUGACUGCAUAUUUAUGGCUGGGACUGUGCGGGAUGAGUGAAGUUUUAUAUUUAAGCUUUUUAAAUAUUAUUGUUACAGGUAAAUGUUAGGAGAAUUUGUCUUGCGCAGCAGUCCCACUUAAAAAAAAAAAAAAAGUAAGAACAAUUUCAGCAAUAUAAUUUUGUUAUUAAUAUCUCCCAGAAGGGGGUUGAUUCACAUCAAUACAUUACCACCGGUCACUCUUGAUAUUUAUGAUAUAAUUUAACAAUUUUAACAGUAUUUCCCAUUGUGUACCCGUAUUAAAUAGUGCUGAAGUCCAUCGCUUUUCACUCUUUUAUUUAUUUAUUAAUUAUUAUUAUUAUUUUAUCACGCCCAGUAAAGAGUAAGCUCGUUUAAGCCCGCGAUUCGUUGACUCUAAUCGAUAAUUUUUCUUUUAAUUAUAUGUAUUUAUCCGGUAGCGACAAUCAAACAGACGCACGUCUCCAGAGGUUUAAAUUUACUUCCAAAUCGCCUCCAGAUCAGACACAGCUAAACUCCUCCAACAGACACCUGACACCCGCAAGGUGCAACGACCCCAGUCGGCAAAUAUUGGUGUUGGUUUUAAGUGUCAUCAGAAGGAUUCGCUUCCUCGAGUGUGCUUUGUCUUUAAAGUCUUAAGGCGAAUUUAAAGGGCGAUUUUUCAUUGUCUCGAAGUGCCCGAGAAUGUGAGCGCAUGGAAGUGAUCUCUCAGGUGCAGCUGAUGCUACGCUGUGGAAGGAGCGCACGCCUGUUCGUGCUUGUGCGCGCAGGCACGCCCGUCUAACGCGGCCGAGGCCCGCCGCCUCCCUGGCAUGGGAGAAAUUCUCAAACACAUUUGGAAGAUGUGAUGAAUGGAGUUUCCAUCAUGUGCAGCAUUCUGCUCAUCAGCCUCUCAUCUCUCACCAGGGUAAACACCAGAUACGCACGACUAUCACAUUUUAACAAAAGCAUUUUUUAAAUUUUUUUUAAUUUUUUGUUUGACAUGGUCUCAAUUUUCUUUCCCCAACUGAAUGAACCAUAGUGUUUUAUUGAAGAGACUUCUUUUUUUAUUUGUGUGUCUACGGUUUUGAUUUAGUGUUUGUGAGUUUAGUGAUCUCAGAGCUCAAUAUGGAAAUUAUUAGACAGGGCCCAGCUUGCCUGCAUUUUAGCACACCAGGACCAAUAAGAGACUUAAAGUUUAAAACAAAGUGCCUUGGAGAAACUCUCAUGUUCGUGAUAUUUCCAUGAGUUCCUAAAAACCUUUAAUAAUAAUAAAAAAAAAAAGAUCAACAAUAACUAUUGCAUUUGCUACUGUGGCUGCUCAUUUUUCUCAGCACCCUGUGCCAUUAAAUUUAACAACUGGUUAUUUGCACCUAUUUGAAAAUAUCACAUUUUGUGAUGUUAAACAUAUAAAAUGUAUUAAACCUAAAGUUUCACAGCUUCAGUCUAAAAUGAGCCCUUGUUUCUAAUGAUUUUGAGGGAGGGAGGGAAAAUCAAUGUUUAAUCUGUUGAAACCCAACCAAGCCCAACCUGUAAAGAAGCACACAGAUUCCUUGGUAAACUUGAACCACUCUCCUUAAAAAAAAAAUAAAGAAAGAAAAAGAAAGAAAAAAGGUUUGUCCGUUCCUAUCUGAUCUAGAGGUGGUGAUGUGUAGUUUCUUUGUGCUCCUGCUGGUGAGGUUCUGCUAAAAGGAGACUUGGAAGGCAGCGAGUACAGUUCUUUUAUAGCCACAAGACCCACUCUGAGCUGCAGAACACGCCUAAUGAGGGCGCACAGCGGUGCCAUGUGAGACAUGCCAGCUUUUACCAGCUUGGAUAAUUGCUUGUGACCUUCUCUAAACACGUCUCAUGUGUCUUCAUGCCCUGAACAUACUUCUAAUUGUUACAUUAAUGGGACCGUCUGAGGAUUAUGUGUACAUUGACAGUUUGUGGAGAGAGGAAGAAGAAGAAGAAGAGGAAGAAGGCAAAUAAGUACGCUUUACUUCCAGCCUGCUGUGGAAUUAGGUGUCAGGCAUUUGUCUGCUUAGUUGGGAGACUCUACUUGUAGUUUUCACAUACCAAUAAAGGGAAUCAAAAUGUUUUAAUUAGUGCAACUUACCCAGGCAUUUUAUGCUACUAUCUUAUUACACACAUGUGGAAUUAUGUCCUUGGGAAACCAAGACAACUAUGUCGCAUGUUGUGGACAAAUUUGCUUUUCAUUUAAAGUGGAAACAUAAAGGAGAUUAUUUUUCCUCUAUGCUCUUGGUAUUUUUUUUAUUUUUUUUAUUUUCAAUAAUAAUAAAUU